This 286-nucleotide unclassified non-coding RNA is filed under the name uncultured fungus. RNAcentral describes it as "sequence contains ITS1, 5.8S rRNA gene". The stretch from base 238 to 286 matches the Rfam family "5.8S ribosomal RNA", at positions 1 to 49 of the family's 154-position model. Lineage: Eukaryota; Fungi. The record is from RNAcentral.
UUUCCGUAGGUGAACCUGCGGAAGGAUCAUUAAAGAAGUUGAUUAUGGGGUUUGUUAGCUGGCCUUCCGGGGCAUGUGCUCGCCUCACUUCAUCCAUCUUACACCUGUGCACCUUUUGUGGGUAUUUUGUAGUGGAAGGGGGGUUGGAUAACGACCUUCUGGAAGCGCAUAUACUCAUGUUUUAUACACCCUUUGUAUGUCUUUGAAUGUCUUUUUUGCGUUAAUCGCAUAUAAUACAACUUUCAACAACGGAUCUCUUGGCUCUCGCAUCGAUGAAGAACGCAGC